CCUACGGGGGACAGCAGUCGAGAAUCAUUCACAAUGGGGGAAACCCUGAUGGUGCGACGCCGCGUGGGGGAAUGAAGGUCUUCGGAUUGUAAACUCCUGUCAUGUGGGAGCAAAUUAAAAUGAUAGUACCACAAGAGGAAGAGACGGCUAACUCUGUGCCAGCAGCCGCGGUAAUACAGAGGUCUCAAGCGUUGUUCGGAAUCACUGGGCGUAAAGUGUGCGUAGGCUGUUUCGUAAGUCGUGUGUGAAAGGCGCGGGCUCAACCCGCGGACGGCACAUGAUACUGCGAGACUAGAGUAAUGGAGGGGUAACCGGAAUUCUCGGUGUAGCAGUGAAAUGCGUAGAGAUCGAGAGGAACACUCGUGGCGAAGGCGGGUUCCUGGACAAUAUCUGACGCUGAGGCACGAAGGCCAGGGGAGCGAAAGGGAUUAGAUACCCGGGUAGUC
RNAcentral lists this ribosomal RNA (446 nucleotides) under uncultured bacterium. Its description in RNAcentral is "partial 16S ribosomal RNA". It matches the Rfam family "Bacterial small subunit ribosomal RNA", at positions 338 to 795 of the family's 1533-position model. The record is from RNAcentral.